AUUAAACGCUGGCGGCAUGCCUUACACAUGCAAGUCGAACGGCAGCACGGGGGCAACCCUGGUGGCGAGUGGCGGACGGGUGAGUAAAGCAUCGGAACGUAUCCUGGAGUGGGGGAUAACGUAGCGAAAGUUACGCUAAUACCGCAUAUUCUGUGAGCAGGAAAGCAGGGGAUCGCAAGACCUUGCGCUCUGGGAGCGGCCGAUGUCGGAUUAGCUAGUUGGUGGGGUAAAGGCCUACCAAGGCGACGAUCCGUAGCGGGUCUGAGAGGAUGAUCCGCCACACUGGGACUGAGACACGGCCCAGACUCCUACGGGAGGCAGCAGUGGGGGAAUUUUGGACAAUGGGCGGAAGCCUGAUCCAGCCAUGCCGCGUGAGUGAAGAAGGCCUUCGGUUGUAAG
Molecule: ribosomal RNA, 399 nt
Filed under: uncultured bacterium
Lineage: Bacteria
Description: bacterial SSU rRNA
Rfam family: Bacterial small subunit ribosomal RNA
Source: RNAcentral